GGGGAAUAUUGCGCAAUGGGCGAAAGCCUGACGCAGCGACGCCUCGUGAGGGAUGAAGGUCUUCGGAUCGUAAACCUCUGUCAAGAGGGAAGAAACCCUUGGAUUCGAAUAGGGUCCUUGGCUGACGGUACCUCAAAAGGAAGCACCGGCUAACUCCGUGCCAGCAGCCGCGGUAAUACGGAGGGUGCAAGCGUUAAUCGGAAUCACUGGGCGUAAAGCGCUCGUAGGCGGUUUGGUCAGUCAGAUGUGAAAGCCCACGGCUUAACCGUGGAACUGCAUUUGAUACUGCCAGACUUGAGUGUCGGAGAGGGUGGCGGAAUUCCGGGUGUAGGAGUGAAAUCCGUAGAUAUCCGGAGGAACACCAGUGGCGAAGGCGGCCACCUGGACGACAACUGACGCUGAGGAGCGAAAGCGUGGGGAGCAAAC
Molecule: ribosomal RNA, 426 nt
Filed under: uncultured bacterium
Lineage: Bacteria
Description: bacterial SSU rRNA
Rfam family: Bacterial small subunit ribosomal RNA
Source: RNAcentral